GAUGAACGCUGGCGGCGUGCUUAACACAUGCAAGUCGAACGGAGUGCUCAUGACGGAGGAUUCGUCCAACGGAUUGAGUUACUUAGUGGCGGACGGGUGAGUAACGCGUGAGGAACCUGCCUUGGAGUGGGGAAUAACAGCCCGAAAGGGUUGCUAAUACCGCAUGAUGCAGUUGGGUCGCAUGACCCUGACUGCCAAAGAUUUAUCGCUCUGAGAUGGCCUCGCGUCUGAUUAGCUGGUUGGCGGGGUAACGGCCCACCAAGGCGACGAUCAGUAGCCGGACUGAGAGGUUGACCGGCCACAUUGGGACUGAGAUACGGCCCAG
This 325-nucleotide ribosomal RNA is filed under the name uncultured bacterium. RNAcentral describes it as "bacterial SSU rRNA". It matches the Rfam family "Bacterial small subunit ribosomal RNA", at positions 28 to 334 of the family's 1533-position model. The record is from RNAcentral.